RNAcentral lists this ribosomal RNA (511 nucleotides) under uncultured Veillonella sp. Its description in RNAcentral is "bacterial SSU rRNA". It matches the Rfam family "Bacterial small subunit ribosomal RNA", at positions 28 to 508 of the family's 1533-position model. The record is from RNAcentral. Lineage: Bacteria; Bacillati; Bacillota; Negativicutes; Veillonellales; Veillonellaceae.
GACGAACACUGGCGGCGUGCUUAACACAUGCAAGUCGAACGAAGAGCGAUGGAAGCUUGCUUCUAUCAAUCUUAGUGGCGAACGGGUGAGUAACGCGUAAUCAACCUGCCCUUCAGAGGGGGACAACAGUUGGAAACGACUGCUAAUACCGCAUACGAUCCAACCUCGGCAUCGAGGAUGGAUGAAAGGUGGCCUCUAUUUAUAAGCUAUCACUGAAGGAGGGGAUUGCGUCUGAUUAGCCAGUUGGAGGGGUAACGGCCCACCAAGGCAAUGAUCAGUAGCCGGUCUGAGAGGAUGAGCGGCCACAUUGGGACUGAGACACGGCCCAGACUCCUACGGGAGGCAGCAGUGGGGAAUCCUCCGCAAUGGACGAAAGUCUGACGGAGCAACGCCGCGUGAGUGAUGACGGCCUUCGGGUUGUAAAGCUCUGUUAAUCGGGACGAAAGGUCCUCUUGCGAAUAGUUAGAGGAAUUGAUGGUACCGGAAUAGAAAGCCACGGCUAACUACGUGC